This 292-nucleotide ribosomal RNA is filed under the name uncultured Alphaproteobacteria bacterium. RNAcentral's name for it is "partial 16S ribosomal RNA". The record is from RNAcentral. Lineage: Bacteria; Pseudomonadati; Pseudomonadota; Alphaproteobacteria.
GGACUACAAGGGUAUCUAAUCCUGUUUGCUCCCCACGCUUUCGCGCCUCAGCGUCAGUAUCGGUCCAGAGAGCCGCCUUCGCCACCGGUGUUCUUCCCAAUAUCUACGAAUUUCACCUCUACACUGGGAAUUCCACUCUCCUCUCCCGAACUCGAGCACCAGAGUAUCAAGCGCAAUUCCCAGGUUGAGCCCGGGGCUUUCACGCCUGACUUCUCGCGCCGCCUACGCGCCCUUUACGCCCAGUAAUUCCGAACAACGCUAGCCCCCUUCGUAUUACCGCGGCUGCUGGCAC